AGCGAACGCUGGCGGCAGGCUUAACACAUGCCAGUCGAGCGGGCAUCCUUGUGGUGUCAGCGGCAGACGGGUGAGUAACGCGUGGGAACGUACCCUUCGGUUCGGAAUAACUCAGGGAAACUUGAGCUAAUACCGGAUACGCCCUUUUGGGGAAAGGUUUACUGCCGAAGGAUCGGCCCGCGUCUGAUUAGCUAGUUGGUGAGGUUAUGGCUCACCAAGGGGACGAUCAGUAGCUGGUCUGAGAGGAUGAUCAGCCACACUGGGACUGAGACACGGCCCAGACUCCUACGGGAGGCAGCAGUGGGGAAUAUUGGACAAUGGGGGCAACCCUGAUCCAGCCAUGCCGCGUGAGUGAUGACGGCCUUAGGGUUGUAAAGCUCUUUUCUCCGGGACGAUAAUGACGGUACCGGAGGAAUAAGCCCCGGCUAACUU
RNAcentral lists this ribosomal RNA (432 nucleotides) under uncultured bacterium. Its description in RNAcentral is "partial 16S ribosomal RNA". It matches the Rfam family "Bacterial small subunit ribosomal RNA", at positions 29 to 503 of the family's 1533-position model. The record is from RNAcentral.